Molecule: long non-coding RNA, 674 nt
Filed under: Ananas comosus (pineapple)
Lineage: Eukaryota; Viridiplantae; Streptophyta; Magnoliopsida; Poales; Bromeliaceae
Description: long non-coding RNA (ACOM_LNC003898)
Source: RNAcentral
UAGAUUACGUAGACACAUCAAACAAUGUGUAAUUUGGAUAACUCUGAAAAAAACUGAUUUAAUGGGAAAAACAUAUGAAGAAGGACAUAUGAAGAAGGACCAGUUCAAUAGAAAUGAGUUUGCAGAGGCAUAAGAUAACAAGAGAUCGCCACGGGGAUUCUCAAACAUGGGGAUUAAUAAGGCUACUAUUAUUAUAUAUAGAUUAUAAAGAUAGAUAUAUAGAUAUAGAUAUUUAGAAUAUUUUUAGCCCUUGUUUGGUUGGGGGUUAAGGGGUGGAAUAACCCCUUAACCCCCAUUUUAUCCCCAAACAUCCCAAAAUAUAGGUGGGGUUAGCUAACCCCACUUAACCCCACCUCAAAUAAAUUAUUCCGGAUUAGCUAACCCCACCUAACCCCACCAAACUCCAACCAAACACUAUUUUCUAUUCAUAAUAACCCACUAUCUUUUUUAUCACACCUACUCCAAUCAAUCAUUAUCUUCUUAUCCCACCUACCCAACCAAACACUAUUUUUCAUUAUUCUAAACUAACUCCAACCCCAACCAAACACAAAAAAACUUUAACCCCGCUUUAACCCUAAACUUAACUCUAUUCCUGGAAUAGCUACUUUUUUCUUAACUCCGAACCAAACGGCGGCUUAGAGCUUACAUUUUACUUGGUACACCAUUAAUCGCCC